This 1329-nucleotide long non-coding RNA is filed under the name Elaeis guineensis (African oil palm). Its description in RNAcentral is "long non-coding RNA (EGUI_LNC040541)". The record is from RNAcentral. Lineage: Eukaryota; Viridiplantae; Streptophyta; Magnoliopsida; Arecales; Arecaceae.
CUUGAUGAUAAGCAUUGUUACCUUAGAAAGCAUGCAAUAUCUUGCACAUGACCAAAAUUAACUCCCGUAUUCCUUGGUAACCACCCAAUAUGCUGGCCAAUUCAACAGAGUGUAGAAGGUAUCACUCCAGAGUUUAAUUUGGUUUAAUCAAUCAAUCUUCUAAAUUGGAACUCAAUAAUGCAAGUAAAGAACUGUUGCAUAUAUAACAAAUGAGGCAUAGAUUUGCCUAGGAUGUAUGCAAGACAUGUGCCCAGUAGGAAAAGAAUUAAAAUAUAUGUAACUGGCAAAAAUGCCUGAAAAUUAAUAAUGCCUGAAAUCAGUUACCUUCCAAACUUCAAUGAUAAUUCGCUUCAACACAUGGAGGAUAAAUACCUAAAACUAAGAUUAAAUGAGCAUUAGUUUUUUAUCCAAACAACUAUCUAUGUCAAGAACCCGAAACAUAGUAAAUUUACACCAAGUAACACCAUAGUCUACUCUUAGUCAAUAUAAAUGGAAUAUCAUAAACAAUAAUGGCAAACUCACCGGUGCCAACAAUAUGAUAAAAUAAGAUGAGACAUGGAAAGGAUCAAGUUUGAUGAUUUGGAACAUAAAAGGUCCAGGUUUAGUCGUUAAAAAACCAUAUCUAGGUCUAAAUUCUAAUGGUUUUCAAGCAAUCAGUACACAUUACUGGAUUUUUCUGGCAGAUCUGAAUAUAGACCGGGAAGGUGAAAUCAUAUUGAGAUGACCUGUUUACACAAAGAUAAUGUUGAUGAUAACCUUUAAAAAUAACACACUUCUUUGUGUAUCAUGCACAAGAAACUGGAUGGGAAUCAACUUUCUUGGCAUCUGAUUGCCACACAAAUAAUUACUAAAAUUAUAGAAAGACAGACCCCCAUACUUCACAAGUUAAAAAACGAUAUUCAUGAUGAAAAAAGUGAAAAUCCUCAACAUUUUAGAUUUAGCUUCUACCAGUGGAACAAAAUUAAAGUGUUUUCAAAUUCGAAGUACCUCUAGUUCUGGUGUGAAUUAAAUGCUAAGUUUCAGGGAAUAACAGAGCAGAUACAAGCAGAAUUGAUAAGUCUCCAGAGGAUAGAAUCCAUCAUAUCAUAUAUGAUUGCUCCUGCAUGAGACAAUAAGAAUUCUAGGAACCCUAUACUAAUUUCUUAGAGAGGGGUUGAGUUAUACACUUUUUUUUUUUUUGGGGUAAAAGUUGACUUAUAAACUUUCAUUGUAGAACAAGGAUACGAUAUAAAGAGAAUAGGGCUUGCAAACUCAAAUUAAAAAAAAAAAAAAAGGAAAUAGAAAUAAAGAUCAGGCAAAAAAAAUAAGGCUGCUCUUUCAAUGUUGCAC